This 253-nucleotide ribosomal RNA is filed under the name uncultured bacterium. Its description in RNAcentral is "partial 16S ribosomal RNA". It matches the Rfam family "Bacterial small subunit ribosomal RNA", at positions 524 to 776 of the family's 1533-position model. The record is from RNAcentral.
UACGUAGGGGGCAAGCGUUGUCCGGAUUUACUGGGCGUAAAGAGCGCGUAGGCGGAAGCUUAAGUGUGGCCUGAAAGCCCCCGGCUCAACCGGGGAGGGUGGCUGCAAACUGGGCUUCUUGAGGGCGAUAGAGGAAGGUGGAAUUCCGGGUGUAGCGGUGAAAUGCGCAGAUAUCAGGAGGAACACCGGUGGCGAAGGCGGUUCUCUGGGAAUAUCCUGACGCUGAGGAGCGAAAGUGUGGGGAGCGAACAGG